Molecule: long non-coding RNA, 100 nt
Organism: Neomonachus schauinslandi (Hawaiian monk seal)
Lineage: Eukaryota; Metazoa; Chordata; Mammalia; Carnivora; Phocidae
Exons: 3
Source: RefSeq, a predicted model, not a curated record
CGAAAAUUUUCCCUUGUGAAUUCAAAUGAACUGUUCAUCAACUAAUGCUUGUGCUGUUUGGAAUCCUAAAUCAGCAAUCCAGUGAAGUCAACAGGCUGCU